GUUAAAGUGGCAGAGACCGGUAAUUGCAUAAAACUUAAGAUUUUAGAA
RNAcentral lists this transfer RNA (48 nucleotides) under Plecotus auritus (brown big-eared bat). RNAcentral's name for it is "partial tRNA-Leu". The record is from RNAcentral. Lineage: Eukaryota; Metazoa; Chordata; Mammalia; Chiroptera; Vespertilionidae.